Molecule: ribosomal RNA, 423 nt
Filed under: uncultured bacterium
Lineage: Bacteria
Description: bacterial SSU rRNA
Rfam family: Bacterial small subunit ribosomal RNA
Source: RNAcentral
GAAUAUUGCGCAAUGGCCGAAAGGCUGACGCAGCGACGUCGCGUGUGGGCGGAAGCCCUUCGGGGUGUAAACCACUGUCAGGAGGGAAGAAACUCGGGCACUCGAAUAAAGUGUUCGAUUGACGGUACCUCCAAAGGAAUCGCCGGCUAACUCCGUGCCAGCAGCCGCGGUAAGACGGAGGGCGCAAGCGUUGUUCGGAAUUACUGGGCGUAAAGCGCACGCAGGUGGUCCCUUAAGUCCACUGUUAAAUCACGGGGCUCAACCCCGGAGGUGCAGCGGAUACUGAGGGACUGGAGACUGGUAGAGGCUAGCGGAAUUCCUGGUGUAGCGGUGGAAUGCGUAGAUAUCAGGAGGAACACCGGUGGCGAAGGCGGCUAGCUGGGCCAGUUCUGACGCUCAUGUGCGAAAGCGUGGGGAGCAAAC